AACGAACGCUGGCGGCAUGCCUAACACAUGCAAGUCGAACGAGACCUUCGGGUCUAGUGGCGCACGGGUGCGUAACGCGUGGGAACCUGCCCUUAGGUUCGGAAUAACUCCCCGAAAGGGGUGCUAAUACCGGAUAAUGUCUUCGGACCAAAGAUUUAUCGCCUUUGGAUGGGCCUGCGUCGGAUUAGCUAGUUGUUAGGGUAAAAGCCUACAAAGGCGAGGAUCCGUAACGGGUCUGAGAGGAUGAUAAGCCACACUGGAACUGAGACACGGUCCAGACUCCUACGGGAGGCAGCAGUGGGGAAUAUUGGACAAUGGGCGAAAGCCUGAUCCAGCCAUGCCGCGUGUGUGAAGAAGGUCUUCGGAUUGUAAAGCACUUUAAGUUGGGAGGAAGGGCAGUAAGUUAAUACCUUGCUGUUUUGACGUUACCAACAGAAUAAGCACCGGCUAACUUCGUG
RNAcentral lists this ribosomal RNA (458 nucleotides) under uncultured bacterium. Its description in RNAcentral is "partial 16S ribosomal RNA". It matches the Rfam family "Bacterial small subunit ribosomal RNA", at positions 29 to 507 of the family's 1533-position model. The record is from RNAcentral.